RNAcentral lists this ribosomal RNA (1240 nucleotides) under metagenome. RNAcentral's name for it is "bacterial LSU rRNA". It matches the Rfam family "Bacterial large subunit ribosomal RNA", at positions 1564 to 2815 of the family's 2925-position model. The record is from RNAcentral.
UGAAUACGAGACGCUACGGCGUCGAAGCAGUCUAUGUCAUACUUCCAAGAAAAGCUUGCACUGUCAUAAACAAAUAAUGCCUGUACCAUAACCGACACAGGUGGGUAGGUAGAGUAUACUAAGGGGCGCGAGAUAACUCUCUCUAAGGAACUCGGCAAAAUGACUCCGUAACUUCGGGAGAAGGAGUGCCUUAUUUAUAAGGUUGCAAUAACAAGAUCCAAGCAACUGUUUAUCAAAAACACAGGUCUCCGCUAAGUCUAAGACGAUGUAUGGGGGCUGACGCCUGCCCAGUGCCAGAAGGUUAAAGAAGUUGGUUAGCAUUAGCGAAGCUGAUAACUGAAGCCCUGGUGAACGGCGGCCGUAACAAUAACGGUCCUAAGGUAGCGAAAUUCCUUGUCGGGUAAGUUCCGACCCGCACGAAAGGCGUAAUGAUUUGGAUACUGUCUCAGAGAGGGGCUCGGUGAAAUAGACUUGUCUGUGAAGAUGCGGACUACCUGCACCAGGACAGAAAGACCCUAUGAAGCUUUACUGUAACUUGAAAUUGAAAUUGGACUUUAUUUGCGCAGUAUAGGUGGGAGGCAUUGAUAAUAUUCUUGCGGGAAUGUUGGAGCCAUCAGUGAGAUACCACUCUUGUAAUGUUAGAUUUCUAACUUUGGAUCAUUAUCUGGUCAAAGGACAGUUUCAGGCGGGCAGUUUGACUGGGGCGGUCGCCUCCUAAAUGGUAACGGAGGCGCACAAAGGUUUCCUCUGAACGGGUAGAAAUCGUAUCUAGAGUGUAAAGGCAUAAGGAAGCUUGACUGUGAGACCUACAAGUCGAGCAGGGACGAAAGUCGGUCUUAGUGAUCUGACGGUGCUGAGUGGAAAGGCCGUCACUCAACGGAUAAAAGUUACUCUAGGAUAACAGGCUGAUCUCCCCCAAGAGUUCACAUCGACGGGGAGGUUUGGCACCUCGAUGUCGGCUCAUCGCAUCCUGGGGCGGUAGUACGUCCCAAGGGUUGGGCUGUUCGCCCAUGAAAGCGGUACGCGAGCUGGGUUCAGAACGUCGUGAGACAGUUCGGUCCAUAUCCGGUGUAGGCGUUAGAAUAUUGAGAGGAGCCUUCUUUAGUACGAGAGGACCGAGAAGGACAUACCUCUGGUGUACCAGUUAUCGUGCCAACGGUAAACGCUGGGUAGCUAUGUAUGGAGAGGAUAACCGCUGAAAGCAUCUAAGUGGGAAGCCCACCUCAAGAUAAGUAUUCGC